AUCCCGUUGAUGAAUCCCGAAUAGGACGAAACACACGUCCUGGAU
RNAcentral lists this non-coding RNA (45 nucleotides) under Schistosoma mansoni. The record is from RNAcentral. Lineage: Eukaryota; Metazoa; Platyhelminthes; Trematoda; Strigeidida; Schistosomatidae.